RNAcentral lists this ribosomal RNA (270 nucleotides) under uncultured archaeon. Its description in RNAcentral is "partial 16S ribosomal RNA". It matches the Rfam family "Archaeal small subunit ribosomal RNA", at positions 477 to 747 of the family's 1478-position model. The record is from RNAcentral.
CAGCACCUCAAGUGGUCAGGAUGAUUAUUGGGCCUAAAGCAUCCGUAGCCGGCGCUGUAAGUUUUCGGUUAAAUCUGUACGCUCAACGUACAGGCUGCCGGGAAUACUGCAGCGCUAGGGAGUGGGAGAGGUAGACGGUACUCGGUAGGAAGGGGUAAAAUCCUUUGAACUAUUGAUGACCACCUGUGGCGAAGGCGGUCUACCAGAACACGUCCGACGGUGAGGGAUGAAAGCUGGGAGAGCAAACCGGAUUAGAUACCCGAGUAGUCC